RNAcentral lists this microRNA (18 nucleotides) under Bos taurus (domestic cattle). Its description in RNAcentral is "bta-miR-2899". Lineage: Eukaryota; Metazoa; Chordata; Mammalia; Artiodactyla; Bovidae. The record is from miRBase by way of RNAcentral.
AGGCGGGCCGGGGUUGGA